RNAcentral lists this ribosomal RNA (239 nucleotides) under uncultured Bacillus sp. Its description in RNAcentral is "partial 16S ribosomal RNA". It matches the Rfam family "Bacterial small subunit ribosomal RNA", at positions 1145 to 1382 of the family's 1533-position model. The record is from RNAcentral. Lineage: Bacteria; Bacillati; Bacillota; Bacilli; Caryophanales; Bacillaceae.
CGAACUGCCGUUGACAAAACGGAGGAAGGUGGGGAUGACGUCAAAUCAUCAUGCCCUUAUGUUCUGGGCUACACACGUGCUACAAUGGCCGGUACAGACGGACGCAAAGCCGCGAGGUGGAGCAAAUCCUAAAAAGCCGGUCUCAGUUCGGAUUGGCAGGCUGCAAUUCGCCUGCAUGAAGUCGGAAUCGCUAGUAAUCGCAGGUCAGCAUACUGCGGUCGAAUACGUUCCCGGGCCUU